GCCGUGUGGGGGGUGCCGCCGCCAUGAGCGUGGCGCUGCGGAACGCGCAGCGCGCUGUGCCCGUGCGCCGGGCCCCGCUUCGCCGCGCCGUGUGCGCCUUGCGCGCCGCCCUGGGCGCCUCCCGCUUCGACGUAGGGCUAGUCUGUGCCAGCAACGCGUUGAUGCAGCGACUGAACGGCGUCUACCGACACUGCCCGGAGCCCACCGACGUCCUCUCUUUCCCGUUCCACCAAGUGGAGGCGGGGGAGCUGCCGCGGCCGUGCUGCCGCGGCGAGUACAACCUGGGGGACAUCUUCCUGGGGGUGGAAUACAUCCACCAGCAGUGCCGCGAAACCGGGGAGGAUUUUGACGCUAUCCUGACGAUACCUGUUGUAUGAUGUAAACCCCCCUGAAGGGUUCAACCUUCGCAGAGAUGUCUACAUUCGUAUUGCUUCCCUUCUAAAGACCCUGCGGAAAAGUGAAAAUUGGGUGUUGGUUCUGCCUCCCUGGGGACGUCUUUAUCACUGGCAGAGCCCUGAUAUCCUCCAGGUCAGGCUCGCUUGGUCCGAGUUCUUUGAUAUCCCAAGCCUCAACAGGAACAUCCCUGUCAUCGAAUAUGAGCAGUUCCUUGCAGAGUCAGGUGGGCCCUUUAUUGAACAGGUUUAUGUGCUACAAGGCUAUGCAGAAGGAUGGAAAGAAGGAACAUGGGAAGAAAAAAUA
RNA transcript from Passer domesticus (house sparrow), 699 nucleotides. It is a transcript of the gene named ybeY metalloendoribonuclease, with no coding region annotated. The record is from RefSeq and is a predicted model, not a curated record. NCBI's taxonomy places the organism in Eukaryota, Metazoa, Chordata, Aves, Passeriformes, Passeridae. The transcript has 3 exons.